UGGGGAAUAUUGCACAAUGGGCGCAAGCCUGAUGCAGCCAUGCCGCGUGUGUGAAGAAGGCCUUCGGGUUGUAAAGCACUUUCAGCGGGGAGGAAGGCGUUAAGGUUAAUAACCUUGGCGAUUGACGUUACCCGCAGAAGAAGCACCGGCUAACUCCGUGCCAGCAGCCGCGGUAAUACGGAGGGUGCAAGCGUUAAUCGGAAUUACUGGGCGUAAAGCGCACGCAGGCGGUCUGUCAAGUCGGAUGUGAAAUCCCCGGGCUCAACCUCGGAACUGCAUUCGAAACUGGCAGGCUAGAGGCUUGUAGAGGGGGGUAGAAUUCCAGGUGUAGCGGUGAAAUGCGUAGAGAUCUGGAGGAAUACCGGUGGCGAAGGCGGCCCCCUGGACAAAGACUGCCGCUCAGGUGCGAAAGCGUGGGGAGCAAACAGG
This 429-nucleotide ribosomal RNA is filed under the name Chloroflexota bacterium. Its description in RNAcentral is "Chloroflexi bacterium partial 16S ribosomal RNA". It matches the Rfam family "Bacterial small subunit ribosomal RNA", at positions 355 to 776 of the family's 1533-position model. The record is from RNAcentral. Lineage: Bacteria; Bacillati; Chloroflexota.